This 505-nucleotide ribosomal RNA is filed under the name uncultured bacterium. Its description in RNAcentral is "partial 16S ribosomal RNA". It matches the Rfam family "Bacterial small subunit ribosomal RNA", at positions 28 to 507 of the family's 1533-position model. The record is from RNAcentral.
GACGAACGCUGGCGGCGUGCCUAAUACAUGCAGGUAGAACGCACAGUUUAUACCGUAGCUUGCUACACCAUAGACUGUGAGUUGCGAACGGGUGAGUAACGCGUAGGUAACCUGCCUGGUAGCGGGGGAUAACUAUUGGAAACGAUAGCUAAUACCGCAUAAUAUUAAUUAUUGCAUGAUAAUUAAUUGAAAGGUGCAAUUGCACCACUACCAGAUGGACCUGCGUUGUAUUAGCUAGUAGGUGAGGUAACGGCUCACCUAGGCGACGAUACAUAGCCGACCUGAGAGGGUGAUCGGCCACACUGGGACUGAGACACGGCCCAGACUCCUACGGGAGGCAGCAGUAGGGAAUCUUCGGCAAUGGACGAAAGUCUGACCGAGCAACGCCGCGUGAGUGAAGAAGGUUUUCGGAUCGUAAAGCUCUGUUGUAAGAGAAGAACGGGUGUGAGAGUGGAAAGUUCACACUGUGACGGUAUCUUACGAGAAAGGGACGGCUAACUACGUG